This 426-nucleotide ribosomal RNA is filed under the name uncultured bacterium. Its description in RNAcentral is "partial 16S ribosomal RNA". It matches the Rfam family "Bacterial small subunit ribosomal RNA", at positions 354 to 796 of the family's 1533-position model. The record is from RNAcentral.
GUUAGGAAUCUUCCACAAUGGGGGCAACCCUGAUAGAGCAACACCGCGUGCUGGAUGAAGGCCUUCGGGUCGUAAACAGCUUUUGUAUACGAAGAAUAUGACGGUAAUAUACGAAUAAGGGUCGGCUAACUACGUGCCAGCAGCCGCGGUCAUACGUAGGACCCAAGCGUUAUCCGGAGUGACUGGGCGUAAAGAGUUGCGUAGGCGGCUUAUUAAGCGAGUAGUGAAAUCUGGUGGCUCAACCAUCAACACAUUGCUCGAACUGAUAGGCUUGAGAAUGGUAGAGGUAGUUGGAAUUUCUUGUGUAGGAGUGAAAUCCGUAGAUAUAAGAAGGAACACCAAUGGCGUAGGCAGACUACUGGACCAUUUCUGACGCUGAGGCACGAAAGCGUGGGGAGCGAACCGGAUUAGAAACCCUGGUAGUCC